UAUGUUCAAGCUGAUUGGUUCAGAGAGGAAGGAUCCAAUGUCUCAAAAAAAAAAGAGAAAUGAAUGUAUGAACUCAAAUUCAAAGAAAGAACAAUUAUUAACUUUAGAAAACAAUAUAUAUAUAUAUAUAUAUAUAUAUAUAUAUAUAUACACACACAUAUAUAUAUGUGAUGGCCUUAAGAUACUUUGGAAAAGAUGUGAAUUAUGGGAAAAAUCUUUAGAAUUAAAAAAAAAAUUGAUAUUCCUAAAUAUGAUCUCUUCAGUUUUAUUAUAUAUAGAUCAUGUACAACUAUUUUUUCAUUUUGUGUGUAAAAAUUUAUUACUAUAAAUCUUUUUGUUAUAUACCAAUAUAUAUAAUUUCAGAAAAUAAUAUAUUUGACCUCUGUUCCAAAAGAAGUCACUCCAAACAGAAUCUUACAAUACUAAAAGGAUAUAUCAAACUCUCUAAGCUAUGCCACCUCAGAAAAUUAAAUCAACCAAUGAGAGAGUUUCAAUUUGACAAGUCACUUAAGCUUCUGUCGACCAAAUCUUAAACAUGGCAUUUCCGUGGCCUCAUUAUUUUCAUCACUGACCCAUCUAAAAUCCACAUCUCCAACCGUGACCUUCUUCGAUGUUAAUGAUGGUGAUGAUCGACUCCGGCGCUUCCACUCCCUGCAGAUCACCAUUUCUUCUCUGCAUUAAUCUCGAUCCUUUACAUCUGUUCUUAAUUCCUUUCUUAAUUAUUUCGUUUCACCUUCCACCGUUCCUCUUCCUAAUUCAACCUAUAAAUCUUAAAUCACCUAAUCCAUAAAGCCUCUGCCUCUCCUCCAUCUUCGUCUUUUCAUUGUCUCUGAGAUUUUCUUUACCAGUUUGCAACAAUGUUAUUAUUCGCUCUUUGGUGAAAUUGAGUUAAGAGAUUGAAAAGUUGCAGUUUCUAUGUUUUUCUUAAAAAAAAUAUCAGGAUAAUAUGGAUGCAGGUGGUGACAACAAUUUAAUUGGUCAGUUCGGUAUGGAGUUCUAUUCAUCAUUCUUGGUUGCAGAUUGCAUAAGUUAUUUUGUUGUCCUUUCUGUGUACUCUGAUCAUUGUUAUACUCACCUCUCCACCAACUGAAUAAUGUGUUAAUUAUUUAUGUUUUGAAGUUUACUGUGUCAGCGAAGAGCCCAAAGUCUCAUUAAGAAAUAUGUAAUAGGAAGAGAAGCAAAUCCAAGCAGUUAUACCAUUACGGAAGAGACUGAUCCUCAGCUAAUAAUUCCUAGGGGAACUUGUAGUAGUUAGCAUCUUAAGGUGGUUAUGCUUUUGUAUUUCUUUUGUAUAUAUCUAUAAUAAAAACCCUACAUCCUAAACUUACUCUCCUUUUUUCUGGCUGUCUAAUGUAGUGGAUGACGAAGGGGUUUGUAGAUCCAGAGCGAAUUCAGAAGCUCGUGAAAAACUAUUUGCAGUUUGUUUCGAUAUAUAUAUAUACUUGGCAGGAAAAAAGAUACACUCAUACACAAAAGAGGUUGAAGUUGAGAUGACUCAGCUGAAUCAAAAAGAACAAAAAAGAUCUGGAUGACCAAACUGAGGUAUAGUUUGCUUCUCUUAUCAUGUUCUGAGAAUUGUCUUGAUAAGCACCAGAGAAAUAUUUUGAUCCGUAUCAGGGAAUAGCUAGAUAGUUGGCAUGGAGUUCACGCCUUUUUUUUUUAUGUGUAACAGUGGAAAGAAUAUUUAAAAACAAUAUUAGAUCUUUAAAAGAAAAAGACUAUUAAAAUUAUUUAAAAAUAAAAAAUUGCCGCAAAACAUUUGAACCACAUGAGCCUAAUGUGCUUGGAAGUAAGACUCUAGUUCGGAUGCGGCUCGACGAAGUAACUCUUCAUCAUGUCGAAAAUCUCCGUGUGAAACGAUCAUCGAUUCCAAACCUAGAAAAUAAUAGAUAUAGUUAAAUUAUGUAGGAAAAUGUUUAUAUAUAUAUAUAUAUAUACAAUAAAAGUAAAAAAAAUACAUAUAGAAAAUGUUUGGUGGUCGAUCAGGGUCCAAACCCUCCAUUCCUUCUUUUCCUGGCUGGGUGAGUAGAUCCUCGAUAGUAUAUCGAGCAUAAGUUUCAACUGGAGGCACCAAAAAAAUCUGGAUGAACUCCGGCUGCAAGGGCUGUAGGCGUAUCAGGAUCCUGAGGGGGAGCAGCCGCUGCUGCAAUCGAAGCAACUGGAGGUGCAGCAGGAGCAGAUGGUGGUGGUGAAGUUCUCUAAGACUGAUAGUCCAUGACGACUUCUAGAUCUGAAGAAGGGCCCGAACUAGAUGUGUCUACAUGUCCCAUUCCAACAUAUCACUAUAAUGUGGGGUUUCCAUCUUCUGUUCCUAUGAGCCAUCUACAAAAAAAAAACAAAUUCAAAUUAAAAAAUAAAUGAAUUAUAUAUAACUAUUUCUAAUUCCGAAACUGAUCUGUAAGUUCCAUAAUCUAAUCUAGGGGUGAGCGAGUAAAGUGAAUUCGAAAUCUAAACCGAAUCUGAGCCGAUAAAAAUGAAUUCAAACCAAAUCCGACAUAAAUACCGAAUGAGACUUGUUUUUAUGAUAUUUUGGGUUAUGGGCUAUUAUCGGAACCAAACCCGAACCCAAAUGAAUAUCUUAAAAACCCCUAAAAUUUCAAAAUUCCAAAAAUGACCUGAACUCAGUCUCAAAUAAGUACACAAAAUACUCUAAGAUUUUAUUGAGAACAUAAAAUAAAUAUUUAUUACAUAAAUAAUUAACUCAUAUACUUAGUUUAAUAGAUCUUGAAUUUGGUGAAUAAUUAACUCGAUGGAUUGACUUUACUUUCAGAUGUUUGCUUUGAGUUAAUUACAAGAUAUAUUAAACUAAGUAAAUUCAAUCCAUCAAGUUAAUUAUUCAUGCAGUAGAAGAUAUAUUAAACUAAGUAUUUGAGUUAAUUAAAUAUUUAACUCAUAUACUUAGUUUAAUAGAUCUUGUAUUUGGUGAAUAAUUAACUCGAUGGAUUGACUUUACUUUCAGAUGUUUGUUUUGAGUUAAUUACAAGAUAUAUUAAACUAAGUAAAGUCAAUCCAUCAAGUUAAUUAUUCAUGCAGUAGAAGAUAUAUUAAACUAAGUAUUUGAGUUAAUUAUUAAGCUUAAAUUAUGAAAUUUCCAGUUUUUAUUAAAUUUAGAUUACAUGAUUUACAAUUGUUUGUUUUUACAUGAUCUCAAUUUAAUUUCCAACAAAAUAUUUCUCUUAAUUUUUUAAAAUUAAUUCAAAGUUAAAAUGAAUGAAUAGAUUUUAUUGUUUCGAAAAGACUUUUUUGUCAUCAACAAUCGAGAAAAAAUUCAGGAUUAUAAUAAUAAAAUGUUCACAUGCUCUUUUUAGUCAUAAAAGGAUAGUUUCAUUAUCAUUUUAAGUUAUUUUGAAUUUAAUUAAAUUUGAACUAUAUAUUUGCAUUCAAAUUUAAAUUUUGGAUUAUUUUUGACAAACGACUCUACUUUUUUAUAUUGGUUUAACCAAAAAAUAGGGAAAAGGCACCGGAGAUAAUGCUGUCAAAUAGAUAAACAUAAAAAAUAAUUAUUAACUGUUGAGUGAAGAAAUAUAUCUCCCAUCGUUCUUCAUUUACUAAGGCUCCGAAUGGUAAUUGCGGUUUGAGUGGUACGGGACAAGCGGUUUAACUGCAGUGUGGUUUUAACAGUUAUAAAAUGUAUAGAUAUAUGGUAUAUGUAGAGAUUUUUGUUACUGUUAACUGCGGUGCGGGGCGGGGCGGUUCGUAACAUUUGAGCCUAAAUGUAACUUUUAUAUCACAGAUGUGGUAAUCCAGCUGGUUUAGUAACAGGCGUUGAUGUUGUUCCAUUCCUAGAUUUAAUCCACUGCAGGAAAGAUGUUUUACGUCAUAUAUGGUAUUUAACCCCGUUUCAAUGUUUUAUGAGCUCUGGUGCAUGAACAAUACAAAACAAUUUGAAAAAAAGUUAUAAAUUUGAAAAACAUACUCUAAACUGUAACAAAAAUUUCUAAAAAUUUUGGGGUUCAAUGCAAAAGCACCUUGGACGCACCCCUAGAGAAAGGCCUGAUAGCUUUAGCAUCAGUCGAAUCCCGAGCCUAAAAGAUUAUUUGGACCGAAGGCCCAAACACUUCUGGUUAUCAAAAACAAAACAAAAAAUACAAUUUUUAUUCAUUCAUCCAAAAAAGAUUACUUAACAUCAAUUCAAUGAUACCAAUAUCUGCUUAAUCACUAAGACGACUAAGCCAAAUGAGAUGACAAGGUUUAGACCUAUCAGUCUAUACAAUGUCAGCUAUAAAAUAAUAUCUAAGAUCUUAUGCCAAAGAUUGAAGAAGAUUCUUUCACAACGGAUAUCUAAAACCCAAUCAGCCUUUGUUGCUGAAAGACAAAUCACAGAUAAUAUCAUGAUAGCUCAGGAGAUGUUCCAUGCACUGAGGAACAAACCGAGUGGACAAGUUAAGGAAAUGGCCAUAAAACAGAUAUGAGUAAAGCAUAUGAUAGGAUGGAAUGGUCAUUCAUUGGGGCUGUCAUGCGGAAUAUGGGUUUUUCAGAGAUAUGGAUUGACUGGAUUAUGAGAUACAUCACCUCGGUCAAGUACAAAGUUCUCAUGAAUGGAGAACCAAGGGAAAUUAUUGUCCCAGGAAAAGGUUUACGUCAAGGAGAUCAUCUGUCUCCUUUCAUAUUUAUUCUAUGCACGGAAGCGUUCGUUAGCCUUCUUAAUCAUGCACAUAACUAAGGGAAGAUAACGGGGAUGCGAGUCGCAUGCACUAGCCCCUCGGUAUCACACCUUCUCUUUGCUGAUGAUAGCCUUUUCUUCUGUCAGGCGGAGCCCUGUGAACGUGAAGAAGUUAUGAAAGUAGUCAGGAAAUAUGGGAAAGCAUCAGGUCAAUGUAUCAACUUCGAUAAAUCCUCAUUACUCUUUGGUAAGACGAUUCCAGCAAAUGAUCCUACUUAGGAAACCCAGAGGAUAUUAGUGGAUCAAAGUGUAAGCUAUUCGCUUUCUUAAAAGAAAACUACUACACAGAGUUAAUGGUUGGACUGGUAGAUGGCUACCGAAGGGAGCAAAAGAAGUUUUAAUUAAAUAUAUCUUGCUUGCUCUUCCGACUUAUGUCAUGUCCAGCUUCUUGCUUUCUUUGGAGAUAUGUGAGAACCUUGCAAGUGUCAUUGCAUAAUUCUGGUGGAGCUGGAAUCCACCAAAACGAGGAAUUCACUAUGCUAAAUGGGAAAAGAUGUGCGCCCCUCGUGAAGAGAGAGGAAUUGGUUUCCGCAUGAUCCACGAAUUCAACCUAGCUCUUUUAGCGAAGCAGCUUUGGCGUCUUGUUCAAUUUCCAGAUUUAUUAGUGGCGAGAGCUCUUCGGGGAAAGUAUUAUCGCCUGAGUUCGCCUUUGCGAAUUGGCGCAGUGGAUACUCCAUCUUAUGUGUAGACGAGUAUUAUAGCCUCGAGGAAGCUAUUACGUUUGGGUAUCAGAAACAAAGUGCAUUCAUGAUAUGAAAUUAAUGUGUGGCAUGAUCCUUGGAUUCCCUCAACGCCAGCAAGGCCGGCUCACCCUCGAGCCCUAGUAGUACAUCCAAAGAUGACCGUCAGCAGCCUUAUUAAUUUUGAAUCAAAGGAGUGGGAUGCUUGACUACUGGAACAGUAUGUAGAUCAAGAUGACAUACCAAUGAUUCAGAGUUUGUCCAUAAGCCUUACUCAUCGACGUGAUACAUUUUGCUGGAGCUACACCAAAAAUGGUCAAUAUAUAAUCAACUUUGGAUAUUGGUUUCUACAAAUUUGAUGACAGCUGACGAGGCAAUAGAAGUUCUACAGCCCACUUUAACCAAACUUCAAGCCUUUGGUUGGAAAGUGAAUGCACCACAAAAGAUUUGUCAUUUUAUAUGACAAUUAAUCUUAGGACAUGUAGCGGUAACAAGGAAUCUGAUAUGCCGUAAUAUGCAAUGUGAUAGCUACUGCCAAAGAUGCGGAGAGCCAGAAGAAACUGUUACUCAUGCGAUCUUUAAAUGCCCACCGGCCUUACAAGCAUGGGCAUUAUCAUCAACACUGUCAAGCUCUCAAACUUUCCCUAUAUCGAGCAUAUACGCAAAUAUGGACUAUCUUUUCUGGAGGAAGAGUAGUAUUAUGAAGCCAGAAGAUGAUAGAGAGACACUAAUCCUUGGAUAAUCUAGUAUAUUUGGAAGGAUAGGAAUGAUAAACUAUUUAGAGGUAUAGACAGAGAUCCAUUGGAACUAGUCAGGUAUGCAGAGAGUGAAUGCCAAGCUUCGUACAAUGCGAAGUAUACUAUACAUGUUCCUUCACAUGCACAACUUGUUGAAGAAACACAAGCCUUAAGCUUGCGUAAUAUUUGUAUGGUGGAUGGUUCAUGGACCUCCACAGAUCAAUUUAAUGGAAUUGGAUGGGUUUGAAAAGAUAGCAUGGGGAAGAUUUAACUUAUGGGGACAUAGAACUUAAAGAGGUGUGAGACAACAUUGCACUCGGAACUAGAAGCGCUAAAAUAGGCAAUGGAAAGCAUGCUACAGCGUUCGACCUGUCAGAGGUUUGGGACAGAUUGCAAGGACCUGAUUGCAAUGAUAAUGAACCCACAAGCUUGACCAAAAUUCUCAACUGAGCUGGAGGUCAUUCAAAUUCUUCAGAUGUGUUUUUUGGACUUCAGGAUCAGCUACUUCCCAAUGAUGCAAAAUGAAAUUGCUGAUUCGCUAGCUAGGAAUGCCCGUUCUUUUCAUCGAUCUCUUUAUUUUAUUGGUUGUUCUAUUCCGGUUUGGUUACACAUGCCACCUCAAAUUUUAGUGAUAAAAUAACCGUUUGUUGCCAAAAAAAAAACAAAAAAAAACAUCAAUUCUUCAUUUUGAUUUAGAUAUAAUUUAGCAUUUACAUAAAAACUUUCUUACAUUUUUAAAUUGUAUAUUUCAAUUUUUAAAAUUUGGAUAAAAUAUAUAUUAGUGUAACUCUGCUAUUGAAUUUGUUUGGUAUUUGCUAACAAAAACGUAUAUAUAAAUUGAUCCGUAAUCUGAUUUAAAUCUAAUUCUAGUAGAGUUCCUAUGGAUACAGAAAAAAAUGUAUUGAAAUUAUUAUUUUUAGUGAAGUGACCUGAUCGUGAUAUUAAUGUGAUUACGAUGUGUCUAGUUAUUAAAACUAUAAAAGUGAUGUGAAUCAUCGAAAUUUGAAAAAAAAAUUGUUAAAAAGCAUUUUCUAAUUUAAAUACUCUUUAUUAUAUUAAAAAGGUAAAACAGUGUUAUUACACAAAGAUACAAGUGGCAUGCACUUUCAAUCAAGAUUCAUUAGUUUUAUACUUUUAGUUUAUAAAAUCCAUAUUUCCAUUACCAUUUAUGGUGGAAACUGAGUUCAUCAAAAUAAUCAUAAGAGAUUGUUGUCCAUAUAUUUUUCUCUUUCUCAUCUUAAAAGUGUCGUUGUAUUUUACAUUGUAUAAUGCCUAGAUUUGUUUAGUAUAGUUGAAAGCUCCAAUAAUCAGACAGUCAAUUUUUUUGGGGUAGAUAUGGAUUUGCUUUGAGUGCACAAUUUUUGUUUUUAUUCAACUAUAAAAUUUAUCAAUAUUUCUUUUGCUAUAAUUUGGAGUUCAUCAAUUUCUUAUUACUAUAAAUUCGACACAUUUCGAUCCCAUGGCCCUCAUAUUAAAUAGCAACUUCUUUUUUUUCCUUUUUAUCUUUAUUAUCGACUGUAUAUUUUUCUUUAAGGUGCACAAUUUUUUGUUUUUGUUACUAUAAAAUUUAUCAAUUUUUUUUUGCUAAAAUUUUGAAUUUAUCAGUUUCUUGUUUCUCCAAAUUCUACUCAUUUUGAUCCCCUGGCCGUCAUAUUAAGUACCAAUUUUUUUUUUCUGUUUCAUCUUUAUUAUCGACCACACAUUUUAUAGAUCAAUCAUUAAUGUGUACAUAAUGAUCCAGACUGGACCUUAACCAAUAUUUUUCUGUUGACGAUUUUCUAAGCCAUUCAUUCAAGUUGAUAUAAGUCAUAAUGAAAAUGAUUUUUUCCUGUAUUUUAAACACCAACAAAUUUCAAAUGUUGAAUUUAUAAAUUAGUGAUUUUGAUUUUUUUAAAAAGAAAGACGAAAUUUUGCAGAUCUUUCGUUUCGGAGGCAAUAUACGAAAGAAACAAAAACAUGGUUUGUACUUCUUGAUAGAUAUCAGCUUUAGAAACUGAUUCUCACCUUAAAUAAAGAAGAAUUUUUGUAAUAACAAAAAUGAUGAAAACUAAGCAUAUAAAUAAUAAACUAAGCACAUUGAAAAAGUAUAAAUAUUAGAUUUCUAAAUAAUAAAAUAACAAGAUUUGUAAACUUAAACUAAACGUUACAAAAUAGUUUACAAAAGACAAAAUAAACAAAAGAGUUACUAAGAAGUCUAUGUAAACCUUGCGGAUGUGAUCGUACUGUAGAAUGGGUUUAGAAAAAUGUUAA
Molecule: long non-coding RNA, 8330 nt
Organism: Brassica rapa (field mustard)
Lineage: Eukaryota; Viridiplantae; Streptophyta; Magnoliopsida; Brassicales; Brassicaceae
Source: RefSeq, a predicted model, not a curated record